UACGUGACUGUUCCUGGUAUUGA
This 23-nucleotide non-coding RNA is filed under the name Cricetulus griseus (Chinese hamster). The record is from RNAcentral. Lineage: Eukaryota; Metazoa; Chordata; Mammalia; Rodentia; Cricetidae.